GUAUAUAUAUGUGUAUAUAUGUGUAUAUAUGUGUGUAUAUAUAUGUGUAUAUAUGUGUAUAUAUAUGUGUAUAUAUAUGUGUGUAUAUAUAUAUAUGUAUGCAUGCAUACGUGUGUGUAUGUGAUUUACUCAAGUUCUUGAUCAAACUUGUUGAAUCCCUCCCUCCCCAAGAUAUAGAUAUAUAUGUACUUAUAUGCAUAUAUAAAACUAGCAGCAGACAUGCUUUCAUGUUUACUGUUUUCUAGACACUGUGCUAAGAGAUUUUUUUUUAAUUCCACUUAACCUUUAAAACUACCUUAUGAAUAGGCAUUAUUAUUGGUUCCCAUUUACAGAUGAGAAAACUGAGGCUUACUCAGGGGAAGUAAUUUUGCCAUGAUCACAUGCAUAGUAAAUUAUUAUGCUGGGACUUUAACUAAAAAAGUUUGAUGUUAGAACCUGCAAUAUAAACCGACACUUUCUAUAUAUUCCUGGGGAAGUUGGAGCCAACUUACAAAAUGCUAGGGCAAAAAUUUAAGCAGCAGCAGAAGGGAAAGGAACUCAGAUUUGAGGCUAAAGACUGAUCCUGAGUCUCAUGGCACCAUUUCAUAAUAUGCCCAAAGUGGAUGUAUGACAUUUUAACCCUGGACAGUACUCUGCCAUGUUUUAUUAUUUCUCUGUACACCAGGCAGAGGAACUCCAAACAGAGAGGAGAGGUCAGCUUCAGAAAUAAAACUAUUGAGAGUGCUUUUAUUUUUUUCUACACUAGUCCCACAGGUCUAAGAAAGUCAAGGACUUGAUAUUUACCAUUCAUUGGCUCUACACAAAUGGGGAUCUGCACUCAGAAGCCACAGAAAAAGAAGAAAAUGCAGUUCACCACCUCCCAGCAGUCCUGGUGGUGUAGGAGGAUGCGCCGAGGCCAAUCUUUGAUGGCUGCUGGUUACUUCCUCAUGAGCAGUGUUAGGCUGGGGACAGCAGGCCGGAAAGGAGUGCUUGGAGAGUGUCUUGACCUUCACAGAUGUCUUGCAAAAGGAAGUCAGUAUAUUGCGUAUCUCUGAAGAUGAGAAUUUUGGUGAAGUUUCUGAAAGGUCACUGAUCGAAUGGCACACAUCUGUGAAUAGACAGCCACAUCUCUGCUGCCAGAAUACAGCUGCUGAGGUGUUUGGGGCUUACUUGGAGAAAUGAGGACAUUGAUCUGGGUGAAUGGUAGUAGCUGUACACAUACAAAGUACUGUUCACUUCUUUGCUAAGGUUUUAUGUACACUCUGAGGAUAUCAGAGAAUUCGGAGAAAAUCCAUGGCACAGAUUGGAUGCAUAAUACAUGUACGUACUUGAUUUGUGUGUUUAUGUACACUUAUUUUCUGGCCAGCAUAUAUUCUCCAUCAUUCC
RNAcentral lists this long non-coding RNA (1365 nucleotides) under Homo sapiens (human). Its description in RNAcentral is "HSALNT0096777". The record is from RNAcentral. Lineage: Eukaryota; Metazoa; Chordata; Mammalia; Primates; Hominidae.